CCUACGGGCGGCAGCAGUGGGGAAUAUUGGACAAUGGGGGGAACCCUGAUCCAGCCAUGCCGCGUGUGUGAAGAAGGCCCUCGGGUUGUAAAGCACUUUCAGUGAGGAAGAACGCCUUGUGGUUAAUACCCAUCAGUAAAGACAUCACUCACAGAAGAAGCACCGGCUAACUCCGUGCCAGCAGCCGCGGUAAUACGGAGGGUGCGAGCGUUAAUCGGAAUUACUGGGCGUAAAGCGCACGUAGGUGGCUUGAUAAGCCGGUUGUGAAAGCCCCGGGCUCAACCUGGGAACGGCAUCCGGAACUGUCAAGCUAGAGUGCAGGAGAGGAAGGUAGAAUUCCCGGUGUAGCGGUGAAAUGCGUAGAGAUCGGGAGGAAUACCAGUGGCGAAGGCGGCCUUCUGGACUGACACUGACACUGAGGUGCGAAAGCGUGGGUAGCAAACAGGAUUAGAUACCCCUGUAGUC
RNAcentral lists this ribosomal RNA (465 nucleotides) under Vreelandella stevensii. RNAcentral describes it as "partial 16S ribosomal RNA". It matches the Rfam family "Bacterial small subunit ribosomal RNA", at positions 338 to 795 of the family's 1533-position model. The record is from RNAcentral. Lineage: Bacteria; Pseudomonadati; Pseudomonadota; Gammaproteobacteria; Oceanospirillales; Halomonadaceae.